AAAUAACAUUCGUGAAUUUUUUCGCGGAUUUGAGUUUUCCAGUAUUCAUUAUAAAAUAAAUGUUGGUAACUUUAAAAUUAUUUUAUUACUUGGUACAAGUUGAAAACGUGCUAUAUGUGUGGUUCGCUAACAACUUGUCCAUCUUUAUAUAUUAUGCGCGUGCUUGGCUUUUUUUAAAGUUUUGUGCGAGUAUAUAUUUUU
RNAcentral lists this unclassified non-coding RNA (201 nucleotides) under Diversispora epigaea. Its description in RNAcentral is "partial internal transcribed spacer 2". The record is from RNAcentral. Lineage: Eukaryota; Fungi; Glomeromycota; Glomeromycetes; Diversisporales; Diversisporaceae.